Molecule: ribosomal RNA, 429 nt
Filed under: Gemmatimonadota bacterium
Lineage: Bacteria; Pseudomonadati; Gemmatimonadota
Description: Gemmatimonadetes bacterium partial 16S ribosomal RNA
Rfam family: Bacterial small subunit ribosomal RNA
Source: RNAcentral
UAGGGAAUCUUCGGCAAUGGACGAAAGUCUGACCGAGCAACGCCGCGUGAGGGAAGAAGGUUUUCGGAUCGUAAAACUCUGUUGUUAGAGAAGAACAAGGACGGUAGUAACUGAACGUCCCCUGACGGUAUCUAACCAGAAAGCCACGGCUAACUACGUGUCAGCAGCAGCGGUAAUAUGUAGGUGGCAAGCGUUGUCCGGAUUUAUUGGGCGUAAAGCGAGCGCAGGCGGUUUCUUAAGUCUGAUGUGAAGGCCCCCGGCUCAACCGGGGAGUGUCAUUGGAAACUGGGAGACUUUAGUGCAUAAGAGGAGCGUGGAAUUCCCUGUGUAGCUGUAAAUUGCGUCGAUUUAUGGAGGAACACCAGUGGCGCAGGCUGCUCUCUGGUCUGUAACUGACCCUGUGUCUCGAAAGCGUGGGGAGCAAACAGG